GGUGUAGUCAGAGAGGGAGCAGGAGAGCUGGUGCUCGGUUCCAGCGCUCUCUCUCUCUCUCUCUCUCUCUCACUCUCUCUCUCUCUGACACACUCGCGCAGAGACAUUCGCUAACAACCCCCCCCCCCUUUUUUCUGCCUCUAACAAGCCUCAUUGCUUUAGACCGAACCGCUUCAGCCCCUGGAUGGCGAUCUCAUGCGAGCCGAGAGCGCAUCAGCUCCAACUUCCCUCGUUCUCUAAACACAUGAAGCCGUCACUUUCACACUUGAUUAAUAGCAAAUGGACUAAGCUGGCUGCCAGAGACCGCUUUGCCAAACACCAGAGGAGAAACGCUACAUGUUCUGCUGCUCUUUCUUUCGUCUUCCAGGUUUUUUUUCCCUUCUGUUUCUUGCAUUUAUUUUUAUUUUUUUCUUGUCUUGUUGACAGUACAUACCGUAUAGCUCUCCGAAUAACGGAAAGGCUUAUGCGAUUUUUGUUGGUGCCUUGAAAAAAGUGCUGUCUUACAGUCGUUUAAUGAGAAUUUUCAAAAUAUAUAUAUUAUUUGUAUUAUUUGAACUCGACGCUGUGAAAAUGAGUCAGUUUAACUGCAGUCACUGUUGUCAGUGCGCAUGAGUGCGACUCUGAAUCGGUUCUUCACAGGACGAGACCGAGAGUGUGUGUUCAGCUCUGAGGACUGAAGGAGAGCAGGGAUGGGGAGAAGGAGCUCGGAUGCGGCUCGGAGGUUGGGAGUGAGUCUUCAGUGCCUUGGAUUUAUUGUCGUCUGCUCAGAUUUCCAGGAUAAAAUAGACGCAGGCUGAGAAAUGCUAUCAGCUGAGUCCAAGACAAGAGGAAUUAUUGGGAAUUUUAACUAUUUUUACAGAUAGAUAGAUAGAAGAAAGAAAGAACAAAAUGUGUAUUAAUUACAUCAUGUAACAAGACAAGAAUUCUUUAGAUAGGUAGAUAGAAGAAAGGUUUGUAUCAAGGAAGGAUACAAAUUUAGAAAGAAAGAAAGAAAGAAAAGAAAAAGAAAGAAAGAGCACCACCUGGUUGGACAAGUUGCUACUGCCAUCACUUACACUCAAAACAUUCACCUUUUUAGUUUCAACAUUGUCUUGAUUUACAUUUUAGGGUUCAUGUGACAUUUUCAAAUAAUUCAGUAUUAUAUUCUAUCAUCAAGGCUUUAUUUGUCCAGAGUGUAUUCAAUAUUAUGGACACAGAGGACAGUUUAAAAGCUGUGAGUAUAGCAAUCACACACACACACACACACACACACACACACACACACUCUCUCUUUGCAUCCCUGAUCUGUCAGCAUAGCCUGUAAUUAGUGUGAGAAAAUGAGUGAAAAUACUUUGUCUGAUUGCAAUAGUGAGAUUAAAACAUAUUUUCAACGAAUAUUGUCAUUUUAAAUGUUUUUUUUUUUUUUUUAUCUGAGAGCUGAAUGUCAUCCAAUAAUCAAUAAUUCAAUAAUCAUAUAGCAUCAUACAUUAAUAAUAUUUAUUUGCUUGUGUCUGUAUAGUGAUUUGGUAUUGUAUGUAGCUUUUAAUGUAAUUUUGCAGAAGUGUCAUAUGACUUUAUCAUGUAUUUUCCUUAUAAUGCUGAACUGAUCCAGUGUCUGAGGAAACAUUCAAACAUUAUCUCUUAUCUGUACUACUUUUCAAUUCAUUUCUUAUACAUCAUUUAUAAAACAUUAUUUCUCAA
Molecule: long non-coding RNA, 1680 nt
Organism: Ictalurus furcatus (blue catfish)
Lineage: Eukaryota; Metazoa; Chordata; Actinopteri; Siluriformes; Ictaluridae
Exons: 4
Source: RefSeq, a predicted model, not a curated record